GAUGAACGCUAGCUACAGGCUUAACACAUGCAAGUCGAGGGGCAGCAUUUCAGUUUGCUUGCAAACUGGAGAUGGCGACCGGCGCACGGGUGAGUAACACGUAUCCAACCUGCCGAUAACUCGGGGAUAGCCUUUCGAAAGAAAGAUUAAUACCCGAUGGUAUAAUCAGACCGCAUGGUCUUGUUAUUAAAGAAUUUCGGUUAUCGAUGGGGAUGCGUUCCAUUAGGCAGUUGGUGAGGUAACGGCUCACCAAACCUUCGAUGGAUAGGGGGUUCUGAGAGGAAGGUCCCCCCACAUUGGGAACUGAGACACGGCCCAGACUCCUACGGGAGGCAGCAGUAGGGAAUCUUCGGGCAAUGGGGGCAACCCUGACCGAGCAACGCCGCGUGAGUGAAGAAGGUUUUCGGAUCGUAAAGCUCU
This 420-nucleotide ribosomal RNA is filed under the name uncultured bacterium. RNAcentral's name for it is "bacterial SSU rRNA". It matches the Rfam family "Bacterial small subunit ribosomal RNA", at positions 28 to 434 of the family's 1533-position model. The record is from RNAcentral.